This is a long non-coding RNA of Haliotis rufescens (red abalone), 501 nucleotides long. RefSeq lists it as uncharacterized. Lineage: Eukaryota; Metazoa; Mollusca; Gastropoda; Lepetellida; Haliotidae. The record is from RefSeq and is a predicted model, not a curated record. The transcript has 2 exons.
CUUCCACUGUCGGACACACAGUGCUUUCUGGCUUCUUUACGUUUGCCUAGUCUCGUCUUCCUGUCGUUAUUGUCGACAUUUUUGUUGCCUCCACUAUCAUUUGGCUUCAAGCAAUAACGUGAGGCUAUGUGUAAGUACGGUAGAAAGUGCCCAUGUCUGCUUCUCACCGGGGUCAGCUCCAGGGUGCUCCACUACAGACGAUCAGCUGGGGAUCAGUUCCAAGUUUAGCAUGAAAGUCAAGGGGUCCUUACACUUAAUAAUUAAAGAGCCCUAGAUUCAACUAUAGAAUCAAACUUCAAAGACAAGACCACCUGUUCUACACCAACAUUAGCUACUUGCAAGUACUGAAUAGAUCUGUUCUAAACCAACAUUAGGUACUUGCUAGUACUGAAUAGAUCUAUUCUACACCAACAUGAUAAGGCAUUGUAAUUUUAUAAUAAAACAAUGUUUGGGUCUCUUUAUGAAUAUACACAUAGAAUUUGUGUAUGUAUACUACCCAAA